CCUACGGGAGGCAGCAGUGAGGAAUAUUGGUCAAUGGGAGAGAUCCUGAACCAGCCAAGCCGCGUGAGGGAAGACGGCCCUAUGGGUUGUAAACCUCUUUUGUCGGAGAACAAAACCCGGGACGUGUCCCGGACUGCGUGCAUCCGAAGAAAAAGCAUCGGCUAACUCCGUGCCAGCAGCCGCGGUAAUACGGAGGAUGCGAGCGUUAUCCGGAUUUACUGGGUGGAAAGGGAGCGCAGACGGCAGGGCAAGUCUGAUGUGAAAGUCCGGGGCUCAACCCUGGGACUGCAUUGGAAACUGUCCGG
This 305-nucleotide ribosomal RNA is filed under the name uncultured bacterium. RNAcentral describes it as "bacterial SSU rRNA". It matches the Rfam family "Bacterial small subunit ribosomal RNA", at positions 338 to 640 of the family's 1533-position model. The record is from RNAcentral.